RNAcentral lists this ribosomal RNA (497 nucleotides) under uncultured bacterium. Its description in RNAcentral is "partial 16S ribosomal RNA". It matches the Rfam family "Bacterial small subunit ribosomal RNA", at positions 28 to 507 of the family's 1533-position model. The record is from RNAcentral.
GAUGAACGCUGGCGGCGUGCCUAAUACAUGCAAGUCGAGCGAACAGACGAGAAGCUUGCUUCUCUGAUGUUAGCGGCGGACGGGUGAGUAACACGUGGAUAACCUACCUAUAAGACUGGGAUAACUUCGGGAAACCGGAGCUAAUACCGGAUGAUAUUUUGAACCGCAUGGUUCAAAAGUGAAAGACGGUCUUGCUGUCACUUAUAGAUGGAUCCGCGCUGCAUUAGCUAGUUGGUAAGGUAACGGCUUACCAAGGCAACGAUGCAUAGCCGACCUGAGAGGGUGAUCGGCCACACUGGAACUGCGACACGGUCCAGACUCCUACGGGAGGCAGCAGUAGGGAAUCUUCCGCAAUGGGCGAAAGCCUGACGGAGCAACGCCGCGUGAGUGAUGAAGGUCUUCGGAUCGUAAAACUCUGUUAUUAGGGAAGAACAUAUGUGUAAGUAACUGUGCACAUCUUGACGGUACCUAAUCAGAAAGCCACGGCUAACUACGUG